RNAcentral lists this unclassified non-coding RNA (2630 nucleotides) under Hevea brasiliensis (rubber tree). The record is from RNAcentral. Lineage: Eukaryota; Viridiplantae; Streptophyta; Magnoliopsida; Malpighiales; Euphorbiaceae.
GGUCAUCGGCCUCUGCUCCUGCUAUGGGAUAGAGGGUCUUCGUCCCUUAUUCCAAAAGUGGGUCUCCCUCCCUGUCAACAGAUAGCGUGGUUUGUGUAUAAAUAAUGGCAUUUUAUGCUCUUUUACUGCAGAUCUAUGGUUAUUGAAGAGGGUUUAUAUUGAUAUGCAUAUUGAAGUUUGCUUUUGAUUGUUAAGGGAAGGAUCGUUGGUUAUGGAGGUGAAAGGCAUGAAAGGGUUGCUGAAAAGUCAUUCACUUUUCACUCCUUUGGCGACCAGUGCGACUCUGCAAGUUUAUGCUCACCACAUUCUAUUCGUUACUCUUGGGUCCUUUUGAUUUACCUAUCAUUUCGGGAGUUUUUGUUUUAGAGGAGCCUCUUGCCUGCAAGUAGUGCUGUGCUUGGUUCUUGAUGAUCUUCCCUUAUCAUCUUCCCUAGCAAUCGGUCAUGCAUGUUGGUUUUAAGAUGUUAGUGGCACUCCACCUCCUCUGGUACAAACUUAUGUCGUGAUUGUAAUAAAAAAAUAGACUGAUCUAACUUCACUACAAAAGUUAGUUAAAGGGUGGAGGUUUGCCCAAACCUUAUCCCAAGCUAAUAUAAGACAGCCAAGGUAUGAAUAUUUGGCAUGUGAUUUAUAAGCAAAUAUAUGUAUAAAUAGUUUAAUAUUAAAGAAUGGUAUGCUUUGAUAUUAUAUAGUAUUAUCACAUAUAUUCUUUAUUUAAUUCACUUUUCUUUCUCUUUUAACUAUAUUAUUAUUAUCAUUACUAAAUUUUUAUAAUAUAAACUAUUUUUUUAAAACUUAAAAUUUUAAAUAAUUUUUUAAUCUUAUACAUAGUACAAAUAUUUUAUUUCAUGUCAAUGUGGAGCAACAGGCUUGUUCCAAGCUAGGGAUCCUUUCAGCCUUUGGCCACUUCCCCUGGCCUGGUUUGGGGCCAUCUUGAGGACCCUUUUCUUUUUCCUCAGGCCUUGAUCGGUAGCUUUGGAUUUUAUGUGAUAAAUUUGUCAGUUUAAGUUGGGUAUUUUAGAGAGCUGGCCUAGGCCUUUCUGUAUCCUUAAUCUUAGUUGGAUUCCUUCUGUGUAUUGGCCCUAUGCUUUUUUUUUGUUUUUUUCAAAUGUCAUUUUCGUGUGUGUAUGUGUAUAUAUAUGUAUAUAUACACACACACACACUUUUUUGAAGAGCCUUGCCAAAUUGCCAAUCUAUCGUUUAAGGAAAAAACCGAACUGGACGUAGUUUAUUUUCUACCUUCGACCACGUUCGAGGGCAUUUACGUAAUCCCGACCUACCAAAUCCAAUCCUAAACCACGCUCACCUACACUGGACGCUGCGUCACUGAACUGCGACUGUUACUAGUUCUAAACCAAAGAGAACAAAAACAAUGGCGGCGAUUUCUUGUCACUCUACGCUUCCAUCCAACAAAGUCUAUUUCUCCUCGUCUUCCUCUGCUUUCUCCAGUAAUGUUCUCUCCCAGUCUGCUCGAUUCUCCGGUGUAUCGGUUUCAUCUCGGGUGAUUCGUGGGAGAAUCUCGUGCCAGACCUCUUCUGCUACCUCUUCGUCUUCCUCUUCCGUCAAUGGCAAAGCAAAAACAGAGCUGAAGGAUUUUCUACACAUUAAUGAUUUUGACAAAGCCACUAUUAUGAAGAUCUUGGAUCGGGCUGCAGAAGUCAAGGCAUUGUUAAAAUCUGGAGACAGGACAUUCCUCCCAUUUAAAGGAAAGACAAUGGCUAUGAUCUUUGCAAAGCCUUCUAUGAGGACAAGGGUUUCAUUUGAGACUGGGUUCUUCUUGCUUGGAGGCCAUGCUAUAUAUUUAGGGCCUGAUGAUAUCCAGAUGGGCAAACGGGAGGAAACUCGUGAUGUUGCUCGUGUUUUGUCUCGCUAUAAUGAUGUAAUCAUGGCACGUGUUUUUGCUCAUCAGGAUAUUCUUGAUCUGGCAAAGUACGCAACUGUACCUGUUAUUAAUGGCUUGACUGACUACAACCAUCCGUGCCAAAUAAUGGCUGAUGCCCUCACAAUAAUUGAGCACAUUGGUCAGUUGGAGGGGACCAAGGUUGUAUAUGUUGGGGAUGGGAAUAACAUUGUGCACUCUUGGUUGUUGAUGGCAUCUGUUAUUCCUUUCCACUUUGCUUGUGCCUGCCCUAAAGGUUUUGAACCAGAUGCAAAAACAGUUGACAAAGCACGAGAGGCUGGAAUCAGCAAGAUCGAGGUCACAAAUGAUCCAAAGGAAGCUGUUAGCGGAGCUGAUGUUGUAUACUCAGAUGUGUGGGCAAGCAUGGGCCAAAAAGAGGAGGCUGCACACCGUCGUAAAAUGUUUGAAGGCCCAUAUAUGUUAAUAAAAUAGACGUAUUUUAUAUUUAGUUUAGUUUUUUGUGCCUUGAUUAUAAUAUUGGAUUAUAAAUUAUUUUGUGUUAAAGAAAGCCAAGAUGGUCGACUGUCAUUAUGCUCAAAGUAAACAAUGAGCUGUUUAGUUUCCUAUAAAUGUGGCUCAUAUUUUGAUAUUUUAUUUAAAAUUGCAGGUGGAUGAAGAUAUUAUGAAAUUAGCAGUUCCAAAAGCUUAUUUUAUGCAUUGUUUGCCGGCUGAGAGGGGUGUGGAGGUGACAGAUGGUGUCAUUGAAGCUCCAAACUCUAUUGUCUUCCCA